Molecule: ribosomal RNA, 292 nt
Filed under: uncultured bacterium
Lineage: Bacteria
Description: partial 16S ribosomal RNA
Rfam family: Archaeal small subunit ribosomal RNA
Source: RNAcentral
GUGCCAGCGCCGCGGUACUACCGGCAGCCCGAGUGAUGGCCGAUCUUAUUGGGCCUAAAGCGUCCGUAGCUGGCUGCGCAAGUCCGUCGGGAAAUCCACUCGCCCAACGAGUGGGCGUCCGGUGGAAACUCCACACCUUGGGACCGGAAGGCUCGAAGGGUACGGCCGGGGUAGGAGUGAAAUCCUGUAAUCCCGUCCGGACCACCGAUGGCGAAAGCACUUCGAGAAGACGGCUUCGACAGUGAGGGACGAAAGCUAGGGUCUCAAACCGGAUUAGAUACCCGAGUAGUCC